This 1182-nucleotide ribosomal RNA is filed under the name Triticum aestivum (bread wheat). Its description in RNAcentral is "partial small subunit ribosomal RNA". Lineage: Eukaryota; Viridiplantae; Streptophyta; Magnoliopsida; Poales; Poaceae. The record is from RNAcentral.
AUGGUGGUGCAGCAGCCGCUGCCGGAGCAGAGGUACGCGGCGCAGACCUUGCCGGAGCCGCCGCAGAUGGGGCCGGAGCCGCCGCGGGACGAGACGCCGAGCUCGAGCUCGGAAGCGUCAGCGCCACCGACUCCUGAAGACCCGAGGCUGGAGGAGAUCCGAUCGGAGCUGCUUGAUUCCCCGACGAUGCUGGAGCAGCUGGUGUUUUCUGGCCCGGAGUCCUCCGCAUUCGUGGUCCGCCUGCUCGUCGAGGAGCACGAGCAAGGGCACAUACGCCAGAGCGUCCUCGACAGGUUCGUGCACCGCGCGCACGGGAUCAUGGGGAACAGGCAGGGGCAUGCGGUAUUCCAAGCGCUGCUGCGCAUCUGCCAGUGGCGGCCCGAGGAGCUCAGCCGCAUCGUGGACGCCGCCGUGGAGCCCAACCUCGUCUCCAGGACCAACGACGGGGUAACUUCUCUGAGGAUGCUCAUAGAGUAUGUGGCCCCGCACCACGACCUGUCCGCGCGGCUCAUCGGCAGCUUGGUGCAUGAGCGCGUGAUGGACGAGCUCCAGGGCUACCAUCUGGUUGAGCAGUGCUUUAAGAGCAUGCAUCACGCGGAGACCAGGGCCCUCAUCCUGCACGCAUUGGACACCAUCGACAGCAAGCUGCAGUGGCGAUACGGCUCCAUGUGCCUGUGUACAUGCGUCCGAUUCUCGACAGGCGAAGAGCUCGGGCGUUUCCAGGAUCGGGCCUUGGGCCGCGCCGUGAACUUGGCCAUGGGUCGGCACAGCAACUACUUCGUGCAGCGCGUGCUCGACCGCGGCAGCAAUCAGUUCAGGCAGGACCUGGUCCACGAGCUAAUGGGGGACGCCGCUGGCCUGUCUCGCCACCCGUGUGGGAACUACGUCGUGCAGCACUGCUUCCUGAACCAGGAGUCCCGCGAGCCACAGUCCGAUCUGCUGCCCAUCGUGCUCAGGGCUUUUGCUGACCUGCCCCAAGAACACCUCGAGGAUCUGGUGCAGCACGCACCUGGCAAGUUGGUCCUCCACAGGCUGCUAGAGACAGGCAUGACUGUAACUCUCUUCCUGGACUUGACACGGGACCUGCCGCAGAGGAUCAACUCGUUGGACGUGCAGGUCUUGGGACGCCCUCGCUCGGAGAUGGUGAUGGUGCUCGUCAUGAAGAUCCUUUCCAUGGUCUAG